AAGUCGUAACAAGGUUUCCGUAGGUGAACCUGCGGAAGGAUCAUUAAAAAAUGUAACCGGACCGGUACGUCGGAGGUGAGAGCCCACGGCGGAUUGGGAAGGGGAUAUCAUACACCCUGUGUUUAUUUUACCUUUGUUGCUUUGGCGGGCCGUCCGUAAGGCGUCGGCCCCGGCUGACCGCGCCCGCCAGAGGACCCAAACUCUUUUAUCAGUGAUGUCUGAGUACUAUAUAAUAGUUAAAA
This 242-nucleotide unclassified non-coding RNA is filed under the name plant metagenome. RNAcentral's name for it is "partial contains small subunit ribosomal RNA and internal transcribed spacer 1". The stretch from base 1 to 46 matches the Rfam family "Eukaryotic small subunit ribosomal RNA", at positions 1786 to 1831 of the family's 1831-position model. The record is from RNAcentral.